This 257-nucleotide ribosomal RNA is filed under the name uncultured bacterium. RNAcentral's name for it is "partial 16S ribosomal RNA". It matches the Rfam family "Bacterial small subunit ribosomal RNA", at positions 524 to 776 of the family's 1533-position model. The record is from RNAcentral.
UACGUAGGGGGCAAGCGUUGUCCGGAAUUAUUGGGCGUAAAGAGCGUGUAGGCGGCCAGAUAAGUCCGCUGUGAAAUCUCGAGGCUCAACUUCGAGCUGUCGGUGGAAACUAUCUGGCUAGAGUCCGGAAGAGGAGAAUGGAAUUCCUGGUGUAGCGGUGAAAUGCGCAGAUAUCAGGAAGAACACCCGUGGCGAAGGCGGUUCUCUGGGACGGUACUGACGCUGGAGACGGCGAAAAGCCGUGGGGAGCGAACAGG